Molecule: ribosomal RNA, 497 nt
Filed under: uncultured bacterium
Lineage: Bacteria
Description: partial 16S ribosomal RNA
Rfam family: Bacterial small subunit ribosomal RNA
Source: RNAcentral
GAUGAACGCUGGCGGCGUGCCUAAUACAUGCCAGUCGAGCGAACGGACGAGAAGCUUGCUUCCCUGAUGUUAGCGGCGGACGGGUGAGUAACACGUGGAUAACCUACUUAUAAGACUGGGAUAACUUCGGAAAACCGGAGAUAAUACUGGAUAAUAUUUUGAACCGCAUGGUUCAAAAGUGAAAGACGGUCUUGCUGUCACUUAUAGAUGGAUCCGCGCUGCAUUAGCUAGUUGGUAAGGUAACGGCUUACCAAGGCAACGAUGCAUAGCCGACCUGAGAGGGUGAUCGGCCACACUGGAACUGAGACACGGUCCAGACUCCUACGGGAGGCAGCAGUAGGGAAUCUUCCGCAAUGGGCGAAAGCCUGACGGAGCAACGCCGCGUGAGUGAUGAAGGUCUUCGGAUCGUAAAACUCUGUUAUUAGGGAAGAACAUAUGUGUAAGUAACUGUGGACAUCUUGACGGUACCUAAUCAGAAAGCCACGGCUAACUACGUG